GCAGCGUAGCUGAACAUCUUACGGAUGGCCCAGGGCUCCAAAGGCUCGUUUCCUAAGUGAGAGAGAGCCUGGCUGAAGCUGUAUUACCAUUCAUUCUCCAGCCUCCGAAGUCUCAAAGCAUCACUUCCACCAUACUCUAACUGUCAAGACAAACACAAAGGCCCAGAAACUGCCAGACUGUCUUCUGAAGUGGCUAUAAUAUUUACACUCCCAUCAGCAGUGUAGAAGGGGUCUCACUAUGUUGUCUGGAGUGCUGUGGUGGAGUGGAGUGGCUAUUCACAGCUGAGUUUGCAGAGUAAACCACUACCCUGAAAUCUGGAAAGGCAGGUGCACCCACAGAUCCUCAGCUGAGAUCCAAUUACCUGAAAUAGAAGCUGCCAUUAGGAACACUUAAAAGAGCCUGUUCUGCUGGGACACAGAAUCACUUGCUCCAUCUCAUACAUUGAUGAUGAUUAAUUUGUAUGUGUACCUUCCAAAAAAGAUGGUUGUGUUUGAAUGGAGGCCUUCUGGACAGGAAAAUUGCAAAGUACAAUUAACAUUUGAGUCUGUCUGAGUCAUGAAGAAAUGGAGAUUACUGAAAAUAAUUCAUUUUGGUAUCUUCUUACAUCCUGAGAGACUAAUCUUUCCAAGUUCAUCUGAGGCUCCUCUUCUCCAUGACAACCUCAUCCAGGGAUUUCUUCCUGUCCUGGUGUUUUAUGACAUCAUCCUCAUCUCGCUUGUAAGGAUAAUAGCCUUCCUCCAAACCUCACACACUUUUGGAGGAGAUCACUUUUUUUAAAGUGCAUGGAAAUGUUUUGAAACAGUGAAAUCUAUAAUGAUAGGUUUCAUAAUUCUAACAUCCACACCAUAUGAAUCACAUCCUUCCUGAGAUAAUGAGCACACAAUUGCCUGGAUACCUGAAGGAAUGGAGACAGCGGCAGAAAACACUGCAGAGAGGUGGAAACAUCCGUUAAUAUUUUAAAAUCCCAUUACUGCUACCAACAAUAAUAAUGGAUGCAUAGAAAUAGAUCUGGAUUAGCUGAGCUUGAAACAGUCCAUCUCACACACACACAAAAGAAUUUCAGAUACAGUGAACCCACAUGUUGAAGCUUUCUAGUAUAAUAAAAAUUUCAACUGUUCUGUUGAAUCAUCUGCCUGAUUGGAGGCUACAGAAAAGAUGUCAUCUUAGGAGUGCUUGCUCUGAGUGAGGCUCAUCUUCAAAUCUGAAUGACCACAAGGAGAUUUGAUUAUACAUGUGAACACCUCAGAAGGCACAGCCCACCCAGAAGGCAGACAGGUCAGGCUGCUUUUUCUUCAUUGCUUGGAUUCAAUCCUCCGGGCGGCUCAGGCUCAAACAUAACUUAAGCAUGAUUAAACUUUAGAAGAAGCUGCCAGGAAGACUGUGAAAUCUUCAUGCCCAAGGAUCCCUAAAAUUAGGAGCAACAACCACUUGGCUCAGACGGUUUAUGGAGGCAAAGGUUUGGAUGGGAUUAGAGAUUUCUAAAUGUGAGUUCGUGUCCUCUGCCAGACCACCUUACUUCCACCAUUCCUCAGCAAAUCAAGAAAAACAGGAGAAAAGACAUGCCUUUCCAUAAGUUAAAUCUAUUCUGUUUUAAUUCUAUAUUAUAUCUGCUGUACAACUUCUUUUGUUUGUAACACCAUAUUGUUGCUAGUAACUGGAAAUUAAUUUUCACAUGCCUCAGCUUAGAAAAAUAAAAAGCAGCCCUGCAUCAAUCCCA
This 1718-nucleotide long non-coding RNA is filed under the name Homo sapiens (human). RNAcentral's name for it is "HSALNT0313684". Lineage: Eukaryota; Metazoa; Chordata; Mammalia; Primates; Hominidae. The record is from RNAcentral.